This 846-nucleotide ribosomal RNA is filed under the name uncultured bacterium. RNAcentral describes it as "bacterial SSU rRNA". It matches the Rfam family "Bacterial small subunit ribosomal RNA", at positions 8 to 814 of the family's 1533-position model. The record is from RNAcentral.
AGAGUUUGAUCCUGGCUCAGGACGAACGCUGGCGGCGUGCCUAAUACAUGCAAGUCGAGCGAGCUUGCCUAGAUGAUUUUAGUGCUUGCACUAAAUGAAACUAGAUACAAGCGAGCGGCGGACGGGUGAGUAACACGUGGGUAACCUGCCCAAGAGACUGGGAUAACACCUGGAAACAGAUGCUAAUACCGGAUAACAACACUAGACGCAUGUCUAGAGUUUGAAAGAUGGUUCUGCUAUCACUCUUGGAUGGACCUGCGGUGCAUUAGCUAGUUGGUAAGGUAACGGCUUACCAAGGCAAUGAUGCAUAGCCGAGUUGAGAGACUGAUCGGCCACAUUGGGACUGAGACACGGCCCAAACUCCUACGGGAGGCAGCAGUAGGGAAUCUUCCACAAUGGGCGAAAGUCUGAUGGAGCAACGCCGCGUGAGUGAAGAAGGGUUUCGGCUCGUAAAGCUCUGUUGGUAGUGAAGAAGGAUAGAGGUAGUAACUGGCCUUUAUUUGACGGUAAUUACUUAGAAAGUCACGGCUAACUACGUGCCAGCAGCCGCGGUAAUACGUAGGUGGCAAGCGUUGUCCGGAUUUAUUGGGCGUAAAGCGAGUGCAGGCGGUUCAAUAAGUCUGAUGUGAAAGCCUUCGGCUCAACCGGAGAAUUGCAUCAGAAACUGUUGAACUUGAGUGCAGAAGAGGAGAGUGGAACUCCAUGUGUAGCGGUGGAAUGCGUAGAUAUAUGGAAGAACACCAGUGGCGAAGGCGGCUCUCUGGUCUGCAACUGACGCUGAGGCUCGAAAGCAUGGGUUGCGAACAGGAUUAGAUACCCUGGUAGUCCAUGCCGUAAACGAUGAGU